Molecule: ribosomal RNA, 254 nt
Filed under: uncultured bacterium
Lineage: Bacteria
Description: partial 16S ribosomal RNA
Rfam family: Bacterial small subunit ribosomal RNA
Source: RNAcentral
UACGGGGGGAGCAAGCGUUGUUCGGAUUUACUGGGCGUAAAGGGCGCGUAGGCGGCCAGCACAAGUCAGUUGUGAAAUCUCCGAGCUUAACUCGGAAAGGUCAACUGAUACUGUGCGGCUAGAGUGCGGAAGGGGCAACUGGAAUUCUUGGUGUAGCGGUGAAAUGCGUAGAUAUCGUGAGGAAGACCAGUGGCGAAGGCGGGUCUCUGGACAGUUCCUGACGCUGAGGCGCGAAGGCCAGGGGAGCAAACGGG